UUCGGGAUAACCUCGGGAAAUCGUGGCUAAUACCGGAUACGAACACUCAUCGCAUGGUGGGUGUUGGAAAGAUUUAUCGGUGGGGGAUGGACUCGCGGCCUAUCAGUUUGUUGGUGAGGUAAUGGCUCACCAAGGCGAUGACGGGUAGCCGGCCUGAGAGGGCGACCGGCCACACUGGGACUGAGACACGGCCCAGACUCCUACGGGAGGCAGCAGUGGGGAAUAUUGCACAAUGGGCGCAAGCCUGAUGCAGCGACGCCGCGUGAGGGAUGACGGCCUUCGGGUUGUAAACCUCUUUCAGUAGGGAAGAAGCGAGAGUGACGGUACCUGCAGAAGAAGCGCCGGCUAACUACGUGCCAGCAGCCGCGGUAAUACGUAGGGCGCAAGCGUUGUCCGGAAUUAUUGGGCGUAAAGAGCUUGUAGGUGGCUUGUCGCGUCUGCCGUGAAAACCCGAGGCUCAACCUCGGGCGUGCGGUGGGUACGGGCAGGCUAGAGUGUGGUAGGGGAGACUGGAACUCCUGGUGUAGCGGUGAAAUGCGCAGAUAUCAGGAAGAACACCGAUGGCGAAGGCAGGUCUCUGGGCCAUUACUGACACUGAGAAGCGAAAGCAUGGGUAGCGAACAGGAUUAGAUACCCUGGUAGUCCAUGCCGUAAACGUUGGGCACUAGGUGUGGGGGACAUUCCACGUUUUCCGCGCCGUAGCUAACGCAUUAAGU
This 716-nucleotide ribosomal RNA is filed under the name Brachybacterium sp. enrichment culture clone NCP4-11. Its description in RNAcentral is "bacterial SSU rRNA". It matches the Rfam family "Bacterial small subunit ribosomal RNA", at positions 137 to 865 of the family's 1533-position model. The record is from RNAcentral. Lineage: Bacteria; Bacillati; Actinomycetota; Actinomycetes; Micrococcales; Dermabacteraceae.